UACGAAGGGGGCUAGCGUUGUUCGGAAUUACUGGGCGUAAAGGGCGCGUAGGCGGCUUCGCUAGUCGGGCGUGAAAUGCCUGGGCUUAACCCGGGAAUUGCGUUCGAUACUUCGAGGCUAGAGUGUGGGAGAGGUUGGUGGAAUUCCCAGUGUAGAGGUGAAAUUCGUAGAUAUUGGGAAGAACACCGGUGGCGAAGGCGGCCAACUGGACCACAACUGACGCUGAGGCGCGAAAGCGUGGGGAGCAAACAGG
This 253-nucleotide ribosomal RNA is filed under the name uncultured bacterium. RNAcentral describes it as "partial 16S ribosomal RNA". It matches the Rfam family "Bacterial small subunit ribosomal RNA", at positions 524 to 776 of the family's 1533-position model. The record is from RNAcentral.